Molecule: ribosomal RNA, 444 nt
Filed under: Triticum aestivum (bread wheat)
Lineage: Eukaryota; Viridiplantae; Streptophyta; Magnoliopsida; Poales; Poaceae
Description: partial small subunit ribosomal RNA
Source: RNAcentral
UCAGUUAAUGAUAUUCCUGCAAAAAUCUUAUUUGAUACUGGUGCAUCGCAUUCUUUCUUGUCAUACCCAUUUGCAUCGAAGCACAAUGUUGACACAGAGAUUUUAUCCAAAGUUAUGCAAGUUGUUUCUCCGGGAAAGCUUUUGACUUCUAGUUUGGUUGCUCCCAAUGUUUCCAUCAAGAUGGGAAACAAUAAAUUUUUGUCUUCUCCAGUUGUUCUUGGUGACUCGGAUAUUGAUCUUAUUCUCGGGAUGGACUGGCUUUCUAAGCACAAGGCUCAACUUGAUUGUGCUGCCAGGGAAAUUCAAUUGACACACUCUUCUGAGGAUGUGAUUAUUUAUGCCGCUCGCGAUGAAACCAUUUGGUUGUUUUCUCUCAAUGAGAAGGGCGAAUUGAAUGCCAUCUCUCAAAUUCCAGUCGUUUGUGAGUAUCAAGAUGUCUUUCCA